Molecule: long non-coding RNA, 1478 nt
Filed under: Oryzias javanicus (javanese ricefish)
Lineage: Eukaryota; Metazoa; Chordata; Actinopteri; Beloniformes; Adrianichthyidae
Description: lncRNA (ENSOJAG00000023815.1)
Source: RNAcentral
AAAAAACAGAUUUUUCUGGAUUCAUUCAGUUUUCUGAUGUUUUCAGAUUCUUCCAAACUGAAGGAUCUUCUUUAAUCUGAUCCUUCUGUUAAACUUUUGAUCUGCUUCAUUGAAUGUUUGUGUGCACUGACCGGCGCGUCCGAGGCGUCAUCAGCCACGUGGAGGCCGAAGUAGUCUCUCUCCGUCAGCUCCAAGUGCUUAAAGACGGCGUCCAGCAGCAUCUGACCGUGAUCCGACUUCUGCAGAGACACCAGAGCGGUUCACCGUCGGACCGUUGGUUCGGUUCUCGCACAGCGUCAGUCGUUCUGACGGCUCAGCAGCUUCCUGUUUGUUCACCCAGAAACGACCAUGAUGAAGAUGAAGAUGAAGAAGAACAUCUCACUUCCUGUCUGGACAGGCUGUGCAUUCCUGACUUCAGCCUCAGCUUUGCAGCGGUUGCCAUGGUUACCCUUGCAAAGCAUCCCGGUCAGAGUGAAGGAUGAAAAGCCUCACAGACGUCCUCCCGCUAUCAACGCGCACGCGUCGCAGGGAGGAUUUCCCGUCAGUCGGAGAGCUCCGCCUCCUCGGUUGCCAUGGCAGCAGCUGCUCCCGGACCUUCCAGACUCACAGCCGGGAGGAGGAUCAAUGGAGGACUUGUUGCUCUAGUCUUUUCAGGACUGCGGUCAAUGAGGCCGGGUCAUUCAUCCGCACAGGUGUGGAGGUCAGCUGCGUCUGAAGCGGCGCCGCGGCGCCAAAACGCCGACUCGAACCGUCAUCUUCUGUCAUGAAGAGGGAAGUCCUCCCUGAGAAAGUUAUGCUGCGAACCGAACCUCUCCAGGUUCUGCGGUUACAGGCGUCCAGUCCACCAGGUGUCUGUAAAGUUCUGGUUCCUCUCCAGAACCGUCCUGCGGGCGAGCGAGGAGGAUCGCCUCAUGUCAGGACGCACCUGAGCUCCUUCUGUACGUUUCCUUCAUCUUCAGGCAGACGUUUGUGGAGGAGAGCCUCUGAUUGAGAUGGUCCACCAGAACUUCAGUCUCUUUAACAAACUGUUGUUCUGAUCAGUUCUUUGUCAUUAUAAAGUUGAAGUUUCUGAAGCUUUUGGCUGAAGAUGGUGAUGCAAAAUGCUUUAAUUGCUAAAGAGAUUUACUGAAAAUGCAAAAGCUAUUCGCUAAAAAACGGGAAAUUUCAUUAAAGAACUAUGAAAGAGGGCUGAAGUCGACCUCAAUUUCUGAAAAAUGUGUUGUAAAAUUGCUUAAAAAUCUCUAAUACAUGCCAAGUUCCCAAAAAUUAAAGUGUAACGGAUCACAACACUCACGGUUCAGAGCGUGUCACGGUUUUAGGGUCACGUUUGGAUCAUUUUUCAGAUCAGGAAAAAGUAAAAAAAAAUUUUUUAAAAAAGGUGACAACAAACAAUGAUAUAAAAGCUAAAAUUCAUUUGGGAAAUACUUCAAAUCAUAUAUUGAAUAAUAAUAUUACGUAUUUCACUCACACAAUACAUU